This 800-nucleotide ribosomal RNA is filed under the name uncultured bacterium. Its description in RNAcentral is "bacterial SSU rRNA". It matches the Rfam family "Bacterial small subunit ribosomal RNA", at positions 8 to 754 of the family's 1533-position model. The record is from RNAcentral.
AGAGUUUGAUCAUGGCUCAGGAUGAACGCUGGCGGCAUGCCUAAGACAUGCAAGUCGAACGAGAUGGCCCAUUGAAUAUAAUUGAAAGUUUGCGUGCUUGCACAAUGACCGGAUUUUGUACGAUUUGGAUUUUCCAUCUAGUGGCAAACGGGUGAGUAACACGUGGGUUACCUACCUUCGAGUUGGGGAUAACAGUUGGAAACGAUUGCUAAUACCGAAUACACUCUACGGAGCAAAGGUGCCUUUAAAGCAUCGCUUGAAGAUGGGCCUGCGGCGUAUUAGCUAGUUGGUAGGGUAAUGGCCUACCAAGGCGACGAUGCGUAGCCGAACUGAGAGGUUGAUCGGCCACACUGGGACUGAGACACGGCCCAGACUCCUACGGGAGACAGCAGUUAGGAAUAUUCGUCAAUGGGGGAAACCCUGAACGAGCAAUGCCGCGUGAGUGAUGAAGGCCCUCUGGGUUGUAAAACUCUGUUGUUUGGAAAGAAUUGUAAGAAUAGGAAAUGAUUCUUACUUGACGGUACCAUUCAAGAAAGCCACGGCUAACUACGUGCCAGCAGCCGCGGUAAUACGUAGGUGGCGAGCGUUAUCCGGAUUUAUUGGGCGUAAAGGGUGCGCAGGCGGCUUAUUAAGUCUAAAAUGGAAAGCCCGAAGCUUAACUUCGGUUUUGUUUUAGAAACUGAUUAGCUCGAGUAUGGUAGAGGCAAAUGGAAUUCCUAGUGUAGCGGUGGAAUGCGUAGAUAUAGGAGGAACACCAGUGGCGAAGGGCGGUUUGCUGGGCAUUACUGACGCUCAUGCAC